AUGUACGCCUUUGUACACUGCGGUUCCUGCGCUCCGGCGGCCACCGUCAGACGACCGCUCGCUACGCUCUGAAGGGC
This 77-nucleotide small RNA is filed under the name Gammaproteobacteria bacterium. RNAcentral describes it as "sX9 sRNA". It matches the Rfam family "Xanthomonas sRNA sX9". The record is from RNAcentral. Lineage: Bacteria; Pseudomonadati; Pseudomonadota; Gammaproteobacteria.